This 416-nucleotide ribosomal RNA is filed under the name uncultured bacterium. Its description in RNAcentral is "bacterial SSU rRNA". It matches the Rfam family "Bacterial small subunit ribosomal RNA", at positions 11 to 414 of the family's 1533-position model. The record is from RNAcentral.
GUUUGAUCCUGGCUCAGAACGAACGUUAGCGGCGCGCCUAACACAUGCAAGUCGAGCGAGAAAGGGGCAACCCCGGUAAAGCGGCGCACGGGGUGAGUAACACGUAGGUAAUCUACCCCUCGGGUGGAGGAUAACUUUCCGAAAGGAAGGCUAAUACUGCAUGAGACCACGAUUCCGGAAGGGAUUGAGGUCAAAGCCGGCCACUGUACACAAGCUGGCGCCUGAGGAUGAGCCUGCGGCCCAUCAGCUAGUUGGUAGGGUAAUGGCUACCAAGGCGAAGACGGGUAGCUGGUCUGAGAGGAUGAUCAGCCACACUGGAACUGAGACACGGUCCAGACUCCUACGGGAGGCAGCAGUGGGGAAUCUUGCGCAAUGGGCGAAAGCCUGACGCAGCGACGCCGCGUGAGUGAUGAAGG